This 921-nucleotide long non-coding RNA is filed under the name Nicotiana tabacum (common tobacco). RNAcentral's name for it is "long non-coding RNA (NTAB_LNC004473)". Lineage: Eukaryota; Viridiplantae; Streptophyta; Magnoliopsida; Solanales; Solanaceae. The record is from RNAcentral.
UCGCCUUCUCUUAGUAGUUAACUUGCAAUAUUUAUAUGGUUAAAAUUAAAAGGUGCAUAUUGUGAUAGGAAAGCAGAAAGGUCCAUUGCUAUAUAUACCAACAAACAACAAGCCAUAUGGUCAUAUGGAGAUGCUCUCUCUGAUCUAAGAGAUUAGAGUCUUAGCCACAAAUGAUGGAUGAGUAGACCAUGGGUGUGGUAUGUUAUGUCAGACAAAGUACGCUCCCAAACUAAGGUACAAAAUUGUAUUAUUGAAUAUGAAUAAGGCAAUUUUGGGUUGCGGCCUAUAUGAUAAGAUAGAGCACCAUAUGCUUGAUUUUGGUGUUUUCUAUUUCCCCUCAACACUAAAAUAACGGUAAUGUUAUUUAUAUGUUCUUUCAAAUUAUGCUGGUACAGGUGUCUUGCAGUCUAGACAGCCAAGAAGUUACCAACGUACGUAGCCUGCUGAAGGAUUGUGACAUUAUGUCAUUCUUUUUAAAAUAAAUGUUGACACCAUGGUUAAGUUAAAGAAAUCUUAGUUCUUUAUUAUUAUAUGAUGUUCCAUUCGCUCAUAUUACAUUGUUAUUGCUAUACUGUUCCUUGAGCCAGGGUCUAUCGAAUAAGAGAUAAGAGAUCUACGUACACAUCACUCUCCCCAGGCCACACAUGUAAGCAGAGACGGGUCCAAGAUUUAUAAUUUAUGGGUUUCUAUAUCGACCUUAAGUAAAUAUACAAUAAGUAACUAGGUUCACAAUCAAAUAUUUAUGGAUAUUUAGUUAAUUUUUAAUACAUAUACAGGGUAUAUGCAAAAACUACUGGAUUCACGGGAACCCACGUAUAACAGGGUAGAUCCACCCCUGCCUGUAAGAUUACACUGGGUUAUUGUUGUGGUGGUUAGGUUAAAGAAAACUCAUCUAGAUAUUGGGAAAAAAGGUUUUAAAAG